AAGUGAAUAAAGCGGGAGUUUUAUUCCAAAUGAACUCAAUUCAACAUUUUCAUUUAACCACGAAUUUCCAUUUUUCUUGAUAAUAAUUCAGUUCGUUAUCGUUGACAUUUUCCUAUUUCUUUUCAAAUUUCGAGGUUACA
Non-coding RNA from Caenorhabditis elegans, 140 nucleotides. The record is from Ensembl. Lineage: Eukaryota; Metazoa; Nematoda; Chromadorea; Rhabditida; Rhabditidae.